RNAcentral lists this ribosomal RNA (314 nucleotides) under Humboldtiana sp. OM-2006. RNAcentral describes it as "partial 16S ribosomal RNA". Lineage: Eukaryota; Metazoa; Mollusca; Gastropoda; Stylommatophora; Humboldtianidae. The record is from RNAcentral.
GUACUGAUCUGUGCCAAUUGAAAUUGAUAUAGUAGGUGAAAAUACCUAUAUAAUAGAUAAUAGACGAGAAGACCCUAGAAAUUUUUUAUAAGAUAUAAUAUUAAUAUUACUAUUUUGUUGGGGCGACAGAGUAACAUUUAAACUUACUUUAUUAUAAUAAGAACUUUUUAUAAUGUGAACAAAAAUUACUCUAGGGAUAACAGCAUAAUUAUUUAAUAGUUUGUGACCUCGAUGUUGGACUAAGGAACAUUUUAUUCAGAAGGUAAAAUAGUAUGUUCUGUUCGAACAAAUAACCCUUACAUGAUCUGAGUUCG